RNAcentral lists this ribosomal RNA (800 nucleotides) under uncultured Gammaproteobacteria bacterium. RNAcentral describes it as "bacterial SSU rRNA". It matches the Rfam family "Bacterial small subunit ribosomal RNA", at positions 76 to 874 of the family's 1533-position model. The record is from RNAcentral. Lineage: Bacteria; Pseudomonadati; Pseudomonadota; Gammaproteobacteria.
GGGGCAACCCUGAGUAGAGUGGCGGGCGGGUGAGUAACGCGUAGGAAUCUACCUGGUAGUGGGGGACAACCCGGUGAAAACCGGGCUAAUACCGCAUACGAUCCACGGAUGAAAGCAGGGGACCGCAAGGCCUUGCGCUAUCAGAUGAGCCUGCGUCGGAUUAGCUAGUUGGUGAGGUAACGGCUCACCAAGGCGACGAUCCGUAGCUGGUUUGAGAGAACGACCAGCCACACCGGAACUGAGACACGGUCCGGACUCCUACGGGAGGCAGCAGUGGGGAAUAUUGGACAAUGGGGGCAACCCUGAUCCAGCAAUGCCGCGUGUGUGAAGAAGGCCUUCGGGUUGUAAAGCACUUUCGGUGGGGACAAACAAGGCGGAGCUAACAUCUCCGUCCCUGAUGGUACCCAAAGAAGAAGCACCGGCUAACUCUGUGCCAGCAGCCGCGGUAAUACAGAGGGUGCAAGCGUUAAUCGGAAUUACUGGGCGUAAAGGGUGCGUAGGUGGUUUGUUAAGUCAGGCGUGAAAUCCUCGGGCUCAACCUGGGAACUGCGCUUGAUACUGGCAGACUCGAGUGUGGUAGAGGAUAGUGGAAUUCCCGGUGUAGCGGUGAAAUGCGUAGAUAUCGGGAGGAACAUCAGUGGCGAAGGCGGCUAUCAGGACUAACACUGACACUGAGGCACGAAAGCGUGGGUAGCAAACAGGAUUAGAUACCCUGGUAGUCCACGCCCUAAACGAUGGGUACUAGACGUCGGGAAGCUUGUCUUCUUGGUGUCGCAGCUAACGCAAUAAGUACCCCGCCU